Long non-coding RNA from Cryptomeria japonica (Japanese cedar), 1493 nucleotides. RefSeq lists it as uncharacterized. Lineage: Eukaryota; Viridiplantae; Streptophyta; Pinopsida; Cupressales; Cupressaceae. The record is from RefSeq and is a predicted model, not a curated record. The transcript has 4 exons.
CCCUGGAAAGCAUAUGCAAUGAUAAAAGAGAAGCCAUGGGGAACUUAAAAAAUUGAGCAUGCUACUUUUAAAAAAGCAACCCUUGAUUUGACUGACCAUGAAUCAUCUACCCUAGAUUCCUUUUUCUUGGAACUUUUCUCAUCUUUAUUGUGAGGCAUUUGAUUUCCUAUCUGUAAAAAAAAUACCCAGGAGUCUCGUGUCACACAGUUUUCUCUUUAGGGUUUUACCAUAAUUAUCCCCUGCAUCUCUUAUGUGUUAUCAGCCCUCCCUCUCCCCUCUGCCCUUCUCUUCUCUCUGUUUUUGUCCCUCUGUCUCUGUCUCUGUCUCUGUCUCUCCCCCUCUCUCUGUGUAUUGCCUUCUUCAGAGUAUGAGUAUGCAAUGGGAUUGGGGUUGUGUGUCUUGUACAUAUCUCAUACAGGCUAUCUAGGAUUUCUGGUUGCACAUACUUAUGCAAAACUCAUUCUGGGAGCUGUUAUUGAUGUUUUGGAGAAUAUUACCCGCGUUAUUCAACAGUAGGAGAAGAACCCAUAUCAGUUGGUUUUGGUUUCUGAAAAUGGAUCCAACUGAUAAAUCAAAGAGAGGGGUUGUGGCCCCGUUGGCCUGGAGCUAUUGGAAAAAUCAGUAUUGACAACUUCUGUUUUCAAGCGUUUUGACCUCAAGGUCUACAAAUCCUGCAGAUUCUAUGUGGAUCAGAACUACUCCAAUGAUCAUGUUAAGAAGCUGCAGCAACGGAUGUUGCGGCACUUUUGUGGUCUAAGAAUUGAGCUGACCUAUGCGGGAAACCUGGGACCAACUAACAAAGGAUUUGAGGGAAGUGGUGCAUCAUAUAUUCAUGUUAUUGGCAAUCCUCCUGCAGCAAAUGUUCUUACUAAACUUUUGCGAGAAGAUUUACGCUGCCUUCCAAGUAGGAUGGGAAUUUUUCUAGCCAUGAGAAGGCUUGAUCAGAUUGACAUGCUUUUGGAGAGAGACUUUCCGUUUGAGGUAGAAUUGCUUUUCUAUCCAGACAGGAAAAAACGUUUAUCUAAAAUAGCUCUAGACAAUGCCAAAGUAUUGCUUCUGCAAGGCAUGGAGAGCGUAGAUGUGGUUGAAAUUGUGGAAAUAUGGGUGGAAUUCCUUUAGUUUUAGAAUUAUUUGGGCUUAAAUUCACAAAGCAGGAUUGCUCAUGAUACAAUAAGGGCAAGAGGAAGAAAGUUGUCACAAUCAGAUAGGGUAUUGUAUUUGGAAUCAUUAAUGGAUGCCGUAAAAGACAGUCAGACAUUGGAGAAAAUAAAAGGGAUUAGUGAUGAAUUUGAAAUUUAAGCAGGGUACCUGAAAUCGAGGCACUCUUAUUUAAGAGUUAUGCAUAUCCCCAAAUCCAUUAAAGUGAAUGGAAUAUGCCUUUCCGCUCUGAAAGUCUAAAGUAUUUAGACGCUGGUGGACAUUUGCCUCUAGAUCUCAGUCAACUCAAGUGACUGGCUGUUUUAAUGGCAACAAUUAGUUACAAUGUUGGUGAG